Molecule: non-coding RNA, 783 nt
Organism: Ictidomys tridecemlineatus (thirteen-lined ground squirrel)
Lineage: Eukaryota; Metazoa; Chordata; Mammalia; Rodentia; Sciuridae
Source: RefSeq, a predicted model, not a curated record
UUUGGGUUAAGCACUAAAGCUCGGCUGUUGGUAUGAUCUGACUGAACCUGAGAGUUUCCAGGGCCCCUGCGGGCAGGCCUGCUGCAGUGUAGCUGCUGUGACUCCCACUGGCUGCUGUGGGUCCCAUCCGUCGCCUGCACAGCAUCUCUGCAGACCCUCAGGGAGGACGUGACAGCUGUUCUUCUCAUAUGGUGGCGCUGACUCGGAUCACUCAUUUAUGAGGAUCUGCUUGGUUUCAUGAAGAAAGUCCAUGAAGAAAGUUCUGUUAUUAAUCCCACUGCAGAGACACUACAAGGUGAUGUGACCUGACCAGGGUGCAGAGCCAAGGGGCAGAGCCAAGAUCCAAACCCAGAAAGGCUGCCAGAGCCUAGGCUUUUGAUAACUAAACUACACAGUCCCCCAGGUAGGAAAAGGACUUAAAGAUCUUCCCUACAGGAAAGACCACAUGGUGAUCUUGACGCUCAAGGACAGCUCUUCUCCCAAAUCCUCCAGGUCAGCUGCAUCUGCUCCUGCCAAUGUGCUCCACCCUCCCACAAACAACUUUCAACACUGCAAAUGCAAACCACAAAAAACAAGAAAGGUGGCCCAAAGCACCUGCAGUUUUGAGGACUUUAGGGAGUAGCUGGUGAGCAUUUUGUAAGCAGACGCUAGCAUACUUCCUGCUUGUGUGCAGAACAGCAAGGCUGAAACAAAUGCUUUGAAAAGACUUCCGACAGGCUUAGAAAUGAGCAGAUUCUGGUUAACCCUGAAUUAACAUAAAAUUAAAGCAAGCCAAUACUUGUA